ACGCUCGACACCUACGGGAGGCAGCAGUCGGGAAUAUUGCGCAAUGGAGGAAACUCUGACGCAGUGACGCCGCGUGCAGGAAGAAGGUUUUCGGAUUGUAAACUGCUUUAGACAGGGAAGAAAAAGACAGUACCUGUAGAAUAAGCUCCGGCUAACUACGUGCCAGCAGCCACGGUAAUCUGAGCGGGCUGGCAAGGC
This 198-nucleotide ribosomal RNA is filed under the name uncultured bacterium. RNAcentral's name for it is "partial 16S ribosomal RNA". It matches the Rfam family "Bacterial small subunit ribosomal RNA", at positions 328 to 539 of the family's 1533-position model. The record is from RNAcentral.